CUUAUUAAGAGCGAGGGAGGGAAUGGGCCCUUUGAUCUCGCGGCAACCUCACCCGGGGGUGAAGGUGCCAAUUCCCACGGAGGUUAAGCCAGCCUCCGGCAGAUGAGG
Molecule: non-coding RNA, 108 nt
Filed under: bovine gut metagenome
Description: SAM riboswitch (S box leader)
Rfam family: SAM riboswitch aptamer (S box leader)
About the family: The SAM riboswitch is found upstream of a number of genes which code for proteins involved in methionine or cysteine biosynthesis in Gram-positive bacteria. The SAM riboswitch acts at the level of transcription termination control. The predicted structure consists of a complex stem-loop region followed by a single stem loop terminator region.
Source: RNAcentral